RNAcentral lists this non-coding RNA (118 nucleotides) under Lachnospira eligens. RNAcentral describes it as "pemK RNA". It matches the Rfam family "pemK RNA". Lineage: Bacteria; Bacillati; Bacillota; Clostridia; Lachnospirales; Lachnospiraceae. The record is from RNAcentral.
AUAAUGAUACUCCUGUCCAGCCACAGUCCGAGCGUGAUAAGCGUUCUCAGCGCGAAGCCGUCGCAGGCAAUGGGGGCAGCCGAAAAGCAGAGAUCCUGCCGGGGGUGAAAGGCCCGUG